Molecule: ribosomal RNA, 253 nt
Filed under: uncultured bacterium
Lineage: Bacteria
Description: partial 16S ribosomal RNA
Rfam family: Bacterial small subunit ribosomal RNA
Source: RNAcentral
UACGGAGGAUCCAAGCGUUAUCCGGAAUCAUUGGGUUUAAAGGGUCCGUAGGCGGCCUUAUAAGUCAGUGGUGAAAUCUCCUAGCUCAACUAGGAAACUGCCAUUGAUACUGUAGGGCUUGAAUUAUUAGGAAGUAACUAGAAUAUGUAGUGUAGCGGUGAAAUGCUUAGAUAUUACAUGGAAUACCAAUUGCGAAGGCAGGUUACUACUAAUGGAUUGACGCUGAUGGACGAAAGCGUGGGGAGCGAACAGG